MicroRNA precursor from Sorghum bicolor (sorghum), 109 nucleotides. It matches the Rfam family "MIR5565 microRNA precursor family". NCBI's taxonomy places the organism in Eukaryota, Viridiplantae, Streptophyta, Magnoliopsida, Poales, Poaceae. The record is from Rfam.
GUAGUCGGAUUCGCAUCAAUCCAUAUGUGUUGGAGUGGAUUGGAGUGGAAUUUAAAUUAAAUUCCACUCCAAUCCACUUCAAUACACGUGGAUUGAGGUGAAUCCGACA